UUGAACGCUGGCGGCAGGCCUAACACAUGCAAGUCGAGCGGUAGCACAGAGAGCUUGCUCUCGGGUGACGAGCGGCGGACGGGUGAGUAAUGUCUGGGAAACUGCCUGAUGGAGGGGGAUAACUACUGGAAACGGUAGCUAAUACCGCAUAAUGUCGCAAGACCAAAGAGGGGGACCUUCGGGCCUCUUGCCAUCGGAUGUGCCCAGAUGGGAUUAGCUAGUAGGUGGGGUAACGGCUCACCUAGGCGACGAUCCCUAGCUGGUCUGAGAGGAUGACCAGCCACACUGGAACUGAGACACGGUCCAGACUCCUACGGGAGGCAGCAGUGGGGAAUAUUGCACAAUGGGCGCAAGCCUGAUGCAGCCAUGCCGCGUGUAUGAAGAAGGCCUUCGGGUUGUAAAGUACUUUCAGCGGGGAGGAAGGGAGUAAAGUUAAUACCUUUGCUCAUUGACGUUACCCGCAGAAGAAGCACCGGCUAACUCCGUG
RNAcentral lists this ribosomal RNA (487 nucleotides) under uncultured bacterium. RNAcentral describes it as "bacterial SSU rRNA". It matches the Rfam family "Bacterial small subunit ribosomal RNA", at positions 30 to 507 of the family's 1533-position model. The record is from RNAcentral.